This is a long non-coding RNA of Zalophus californianus (California sea lion), 2278 nucleotides long. RefSeq lists it as uncharacterized. The transcript is spliced from 4 exons. The record is from RefSeq and is a predicted model, not a curated record. Lineage: Eukaryota; Metazoa; Chordata; Mammalia; Carnivora; Otariidae.
UGAUGCAGUCCCAAGGAUCCUUCCAAGAGGGAAGUAGGGGGAGUCAGAGACAGAUGAAAAGGCCACGUGAAGCAGAACUAAAGUGAUGGGACCAUGAGCCACAGGAUAUCAGCAGCUUCUAGAAGGUACUGCCCAGGCUUUUCCAGGAUAAUGUUCAGCGCGUCCUAUGUCUACGUCAGGAAGAUCCCAUUUCCGAAGCCCAUGAGGUUUCUGUUAGGCUGCCACCCAUCAGACUCCAGUCAAAGGAACAAAUGGGCAAGAGAACCAAGGAGAGAUUUCUCAUGGUGGACCACACCUGUCCUCGGCCUGGAAAAAUGGAGGAAAGGCCUCGGCGACCAUGGCUUCUCUCCAUUCUGUGCACCGACAGCCUGACCACUGGUAGAAGCGGCCACGCUGCGGACAGAGCCGCUGAGGAUCCGAGCAUCCGAGCAUCCAUCAAGUGAGGUCCGGAUGCCCUCAGAGGCGGUGAAUUUCGGUUGUGCCGCUUUUGUACGACGACGCAGGCCCCAGCGCCGUCUCCUCUCCCGCACGGCUGUGGGCCGCGAUGAACCCGCGCAGCAGAAGCGCGGGCCUCAGUUCCACGGACGCUGCCGGGACGCCAGCGUACAGCAGGGGGCAGCAUUGAGACAUCAACGAGGGGAUGCUCCCGGCGCCGUGAGGCGCCGCAGCAGGAUCCAAGCUCCUCUGAGGCGCUAACCUUUCAAGCAAUUCCCCGGGGAGCCCUUCCUGCCCUGUGAGAGCUGCCCGAAAAUGAGCAGGUUAUAAGAAUGAAAUAUUAAGCAGUACCCUUCUGCAGAGGGAGUUGUCAUUUAGCGUAUUAUCAGUGGAUGACACAUUCUUCCAGCUUAAAGGUGGUUUGGUUAAGUGCAGGAGCCGGGUGAAGGCGUUUGCCAUGGUACCCACUCCAGAACACCCAGCAUGUGUGUGGGUGCCGCUAGCAGCGGGGGGAGGGCACCUGAAAGCUGAAGGCUGGAAGCCGACAGGGACUGAGGACCCCGGGGCCUGUGCAGGAGAGAAGGGGUGCAUCUGCUUUAAGGAUGCUGAGACGGCAGGCACAUUUCCAGCUGUGAUCAGGAUGAAGGAGGCAUAGCCUCACAGCGCGAUGAAGGAAGCUGGUGAGGCAGAAGGGGACAGGAGGCAGGCAGGCUGCUCUUCCCAGGGGCGACAGGUGUCUCCUUCCAUAUUGAUUCUGUUGAUCAGUGGGGAGAAAUGUUUAGCAUUUUCUUUGUUCUUCAUCAUCUCCAUUGACCUGCCCUUUCUCUGCAUGCUUCUCAGUUGAGCUGCGGCAGACACGUGGGCAUACGCUCGGGGUUGAAAAUGGCCCUGAAUCCCUUCCUGACUGGCCAGAAGGGUGGGACCCUUUUUUUCCUCCCAUUUUCUGUGUUUUCCUACUGUGGAUGCUAAGGCAAUGUUCCAGAAUCUGAACUGGCCCUCAGCAGAGUUCUUGCAGAAAAACAUGUUGAGAUAUGUCUCCACCAUGGUCCACAAGCUGUCAGCAUUAAAUCAGUUUAAAGGGGCACAUUUGUAAGAACUCAGAAGAGAAGAAUAAGCCCAGUUGGAUGAACUGGGUAAAACUCUGUGAGGUCCUCUUCCUUUAGCCCAAUGAAAUAAUAAUUAUAUCCUUGGGCAAAGGCUCCUUGCUGCUACAACAAACUGGAAUCUUUGCUGUUCCCCAGUGUGCUUUAUUCUCUACAGAUACUACUGAUGUUUUCUUCUGGAUAAUUACCCUCAAAUCCCCAAUUUUACCCAUACUCAUGGUCCUUGUUGUAAAUGAGAGCCCUCUUGUUUGAUAAUCAUGAGGACCAAAACAAGCCGGCUGCUAAGUGAUUUGGACCUGGAGCCAAGUAUUUCCUCUGUCCUUUUAAGAAGUGGUAUUUUUGGUUGGUCGAAUCAAAUUCCUCCCCCGUAUAGGCAAAGGCAAUGUUUGUAACUUACCUAAGAACCCAAAGCAUAUUUAGGAAUAUGCACCUUAAUUUUUUUCUUUGAAUUAAUAUCUUGAAAAGUCUGCCUGUUGUGUCAAAAUGUGUUAGCAGUGAGUCAUGAGAGCGGUGGGACGACCGGUGACUCAGGCGCCUCUCUCCUUGUCACCAAGGGAACUGGAGUUUGCGAUCACAGGAAACUGCGUUUAAAGCCCAGCUUGGCCUUUACUUCUUUCAUUCUUUUCACCUAUUUGAGUUCAUCUCAGCUCCUGUUUUCUCAAAGGUAAAAUGAGGAAUAAUAAUAGCUGUCUCGGGGCAUCUGGGCAACUCAGUCAGUUAAGCAUCUGCCUUCAGCUCAG